Non-coding RNA from Ictidomys tridecemlineatus (thirteen-lined ground squirrel), 836 nucleotides. The record is from RefSeq and is a predicted model, not a curated record. Lineage: Eukaryota; Metazoa; Chordata; Mammalia; Rodentia; Sciuridae.
CAUUCAGUAGAAAUCGUGCUGAGAAUUUUGACUUUGGAUCUCCUUCCCGGCUUGUAGUGUGUGUUAUGAUGCUCUCCCACAAUGCUAGGCUGUGGCAUGGAGCUGCAGCGAGCCAAGCCAUCAUGAGAACCACAAGAUGAAAACCACCGAAUCUCUGCGUCAUUGCAUGGAGGGCCGCUUUCCAGAGAAUGGACUGGAUCCUGGCAUCAGAACUUAAAUAAUUGGCCUUCUACUCUGCACCCACACACCCUGGUGCAAAGCUUACCAAGGAAUCAUCCUGCCCACCCACACAAAGCCACAGAUGAGCUCCCAGGAUUGGCCCUUUGAGAUCUUGGCUACAGCUGUGCAUCCUCUGGGCCUGAGGGUUUGGAGGUGGCUUCAAGCAGGCAAGAAGAGACCUCCACCAGCAGCAGAAGCUGCUGCAUCAUAGCCCGGAAGGCAGGACCUUGAGAAAUGGACUCCAGGACCUGAACUGGGAUCUGCAGCACAAAAUGCAAGGAAGCAAACAACCUCAAAGAAGAUUUUGGAACACCACUGAAUAUGCAAUAUGGUGGCUCAAAGAUUCUGCUCCUUAGGAGGGAAAGGUCAGGAGUGAAAUGAAAUAUGUGUUUACUAGAGGAGGUGUGGGUAAUAUUUCUAUGACUUUAGCUGCUGGCAUGACUGUGUUAGAUUGCUGACUUCAUCCUUUUUCACAAUUGGUAAAGAAAAAGGAAAAGGGAAAAGGAAAACUCUCCUAGAAUACCAGAAUCAGUCAUAAAAUACGAAUAGAGUUAGAGGAAGAGCAUGUGCCACUGCUUCUGGGAUUCACCAUGGUUGUUGGUCAUGGACUUGACCCA